AAAAUUAUAAUUAUUUUAUCAAGAACAGUAGAGGGGCAAAGUCAACUCCAAGAUAGCUGAGCUAGUAAUUAGCUCUAUGUUCAUAUCGAGACGAUUUCAAAAAGGAUGAAAUGCCAGGCUCACUGUGUAUACAGUGUCAGACACAAACCACUGUGUUUAGUAAGACCUGCAACAGUUGUUUCUUUAACCAUCCAAAAGAGAUGUUACAAGCGUUGAAGAAGUAUGAUUACGAAUGGGAACACAAUGAUUGCACCCAAUUAUAAUAAUAGCUCUCAGAUAUUGACUUCCACUAAAGUAUUGCUCUACAAAUUACAUACUCUGGGAUUUGUUCCCCUUCUCCUGCUUGGAAAAAGGAGAAAUGGAACAAAACAUAUCGAUAUGGAUUCCUUUUGCCCUCACCCUCAAGUCAUAAAAGAAACGGGCUCUAUUGAAACCUUGAGAAAUAUUUAUUUAGUUCUUCUGAAUGUCACACUCGGCACCGAGUCCCAAUGCCAGUUCUCCCCAGUGUCUUCAGAGCCAGACGGGACCCCUGCACCAGCCGAGGUAGAGGGAGCCCCUACAACAAUCGAUCCCGUGGGAACCCCUGCACCAACAGAGCUACACAGAAUACCCAUAUCCAUCCGACUGAACAUAAUACCCACACCAACAGCGACGUGCAAACACAACACACUAAUCAAUCCAGUGGAAACCCCUACAACUAUCAAUCCAGCAAGAACCCCGGCACCAACCAAGCGAGACAGAAUCCCCAUAUCUUUACGACGGAACCUAAUCCCCACACCAACAGAGCCAGGCAAACCAUCCACACCAACCAAUCCAGUGGGAAUCCCUACAACAACCAAUCUAGUUGGCACUCCUACAGCAAUUGAUCCAUCAGGAACCCCUGCACCAACUAUUCUAGACAGAAUCCCCACAUCCAUCAGCCUGAACAAAAUCACCACACUAACAGAGCCAGGCAAACACUCCACAUCAACCAAUCCUGUGGGAACCCCUUCACCAAUUAAUUCAGUGGGGACCCCUGCACCAGCCGAGCUACAUGGACUCCCCACACCAACAGACCCAGGAAACCCCUCCACAUCAACCAAGCUAGACGGAAUCCCCACAUACAUCUGCCUGAAUGGAAUCCCCACAUCCAUCUGCAUGAACGGAACCCCCACCUCAAUACAGUCCAAAAUCCCCAGACCAAUACAGCCCAAAAUCCCCAGACCUAUAGCCAAAAUUCCCCACACCAAUACAGCCAGGCAAACCCUCCACACAAAAUAAUCCAGUGGGAACCCCUAUACCAAUUGAUGAAACAUCUGACUCCUCUGAGCACCAGGACCAAGAAAUGCAAAGGCCAAAAAGAAAAAUGUGGACAGAUGGAGAUCUAAUCGUUGCUGAAGACUGUGCAACCAUUCAAGCACAAAAGAAAAUCAAAACAACAGGUAUAACUGAUAUUUCAAUUCACUUAUUUAGGCUUAAGGUUCUGUACAAUCAUUCUACAUUUUUGUAGAAUUUUGUGCCACAUUGUCACGAUAAUGCAAAAUGCAUCAUAUGUUGCAAAACACAUCAUUAUGAGGAUGUGGCAUAAUACACUUUGCAUCUUGAAGUGCUAUAUCUUGAAAUCUUGAUUGCUGACAUGUAAAACAUUUUGGAACUGGAUCAACAGUGCACUAAUGAUGAAGAAGAAAACAAAACAUUUUUGAGUGGAUUAUUCCAUUAAUACUAUAAAUGGAGCUGAAAAACAUAAAAUAAGGAUUGUAUCAAUAAUUUGCUAUCAUAUAGCAUUGAGACAAAAAUAUUAAAUAGUUUUUACGAUCCUGUGUUUUUAAGCUUUCAAAUGAUAUUAAAGUAUUAAAGUAACGUAUUAUCUUUAUUAGUUGCAGGGCUAUGGGUAUUUCAUGAUAGUGGGGGGUCCAAAAUGAGCCAGCUGAGCACCUCUAUCCCCUGAAUGUUUGGUCAUUCAGGUGCAAGAUGAGCCAUGCUCAUCAUUUCUACUGUCGGCAUGUAUAGAAAGUUUGAUUUAAAUAAAAAAGACGAUUCAUUUAAUAUGCAAUAACCUCACGGCUACUUAAUCACGUUCACUCUCAAAAGUAUCACCACAGACAAAAUAUACCAGAUACAUCAUUGGUGAUAUAAAUCUGAAGCAUCCGUUUAGAACUUCCACUCACCAGCAAAUAUAGUGAGAAGAACAUGCAGUAUGUUGAGCGCAGAACAUUUUUUGCUCACACUACAGACUGCUAUAUCGAUCUGCUAAUACAUGACUAGUAAAGGGCCAGUGCACACUUUUUUUUUUACCUUAUAUUUAUUUAUUUAUUAUUCUGAUUUUUCAGGGGGUGCUGUAUGACAGACUCCAUGAAAUAAUGACCUCUUCCUAAAUAUUUGGUAAAAUAUAAAACAUUUUGUUAUGGUUUCCUAGAAGCAAGGGUGGCUCAUAUAAUCCAUUUGGCUCAAUUUACCCCACUCUCCCCGCCACCAAAUGUUGUGGACUUGACGCUUUGCCAAAGUUAAAAAAAAAUGUUGUUGUUUAGGAGUCCAAGGGUGAAUUGAGUUCUUGCACACACAGACUAUUUGAUCUGUUCGUAGAAGAGUGGCUGAACAUGGAUACGGAUAGGCCCAUGGUGUCAAGAUAUGCAGAGGUAGACACCGAAAUAUUAGAUCAACUAGAAAAACACAAAGGUAAUUGAUUUAAUAUGGAAUUGCCUCAUGGCUACCUCAUAACUUUCACUAUAAAAAGGUAUCAUUGUGAAUGAUUUACGUUCUGCAACUUUGAAGGCGUCCGCAUGCUUCCCAGCCAAAACAGUUCGGAAGAGUUCGUGCAUGGUAACAUUUUGAGACGUUUUUGUUCGUUUUGGACUUCGGUGAGGGUUUUUUCGGUUACACCAUUUUUUUUUUCUUAAGGCAAGCUGAAGUUCGGAACUGAAGUCUACGCCCGCCCCUUCGGUGAUUGGGAUUCUUCAAUAAAGUAUUUUUUUGUCACGAGAGAACUCGUUUUGAUGCAAAUCUUUUCAUUAAGAAAUACUGCACCAAACAUAUUAGUCUCGCAAUUUUACAUCUAACUAAGAUCUCCUUUACAAAAACGUCUAAAUGAAUAACAGAUUUCUUGAGUUAUUUAGAUCCAUCCUGACUGUUUUGAGGAAGCGUAUACUGGCUACGGCGUAUCAAAAUGGACCAACAGUACUAUUGCCAUGUUCUCGUUUUUCAAGCAAAGGUCUUUUGAAGGGAGUAGGCGAGCACACUCGUUCGGGUUCGCCUAGCCGCCAGCCGAAAUGAAGCAUGCUGACGCCUUAACAAAACAUUGUCACAGUUAUCCCAAGGAUGAAUUUGCAAACAUAACAUUUGAUUCAUUUGAUCUGUUUGUAGAAGAGUCGCUGACCAUGGAUACGGAUAGGCCCAUGGUGUCAAGACAUGCAGAGGUAGACACUGGAGUAUUAGAUCAAUUAGAAAAGAGCAGCAUUGUACAAGCAACCAACAAGCAAACUUUGUGGGCUAUAAACUGCUUUAAGGACUGGCUGGCAGAGAAACAGAUGAUAGUGGAUUUUUCAACCAUUGAGAAAUCUGAAAUGAAUGUCCUCUUGCGAGAUUUUUAGUGUUUUGUUCGAAGGGGUCAAGGUGGGGAGUAUUGCAUCCCAAGCUAUAUCGGAAUCCGGGCUGGCGUAAACAGAUUCAUUAACCUCCCUCCCCUUAGCAGAUCCUGGUGCUUGAUGAAGGACAGUGAGUUUAACUCCUCUAAUAAUGUAUUUCUUGGGGUACUAAAGAAACUCAGACGAGAGGGCAGGGACAAAACUACCCAUCCUAAGGUGAUUACAGCAAAAGACCUUGAGAUUCUUCAAAACUCUACUGUGCUAAGCCCCUACACACACAGAGGACUAGUGAACAAAGUGUGGUUUGAUAUCCAGUUACACUUUGGCCCCAGAGGAAAAGAGGGCAAUAGAAGGCUAACGCCACAGUCGUUUGUAAUAAGGUACGAUGAAAACGGAGCAAAAUAUGCAACGCUGACUUCCAAAGAAGAAAGACCGAACCACAAAGAUGCAGAACUGGCAGAAUCGCUGUGGAAUCAUGUUUCAGAACUCUGAUAGUCCACUCUGUCCAGUCGCCUCCUUGGAGAAGUAUCUGAGCAAGAUCCUGCCAGAUGCCACCGCCCUCUACCUCCAUCCUAAGAAUAUGGUCAUCACCAGUGACAGCAUGUGGUAUAGCCAGGAGCCAAUGGGGUUCAACUACCUUUCAUCAAAUGCUGCCCCGACUGUGCCAGGAGGCUGGUACAUUGGAAAAGUACACAAACAAUUGCUUCCGAACUUUGCGCGAGAUCAUGUCUGUCAGCAGACUGAUAGUUCCUUGAAGAGUGUCGUAGCUGAAUCAGAAUUAGUUAGUUUGGACUAUACUGUUGGCAGUUGCAUUUUCCUCUCUUCUCUAGGGAAAAGUCACUUGGGGCCCAGAGAGGGGAGAGGUCAGGCUUGUCUUUUACAUGUCUGGUAAUAGGCAGAAUAUCAGAAAGGGAAAAGUCAGGUUUAAACAUUGUCUUCAUAAUGAAUAUAUCUGUUAAACCAUGUGAAGGGCUCCACCAUGUCUGUACUCCAGUCACUCCCUCCUUUUGCCAUUGGGGGGAGGAGUAUGGUAAUGUCUGGAACCAUUGUAUGUCCCGCUGAUGUUGCCCUUAUCUUGAUUUAGUAUAUGACCUAGAGGCUCACUACUCUCCGGGAGUUUGUCCAUGAGGGGUGUAUUUGAGAUGGGAGUAUCUAGAAUUGACAAUUGAUAUAUGCCAUUGGAUGAGGAAAUGUUUUGGUAAUAUGAAGUACCAAGAACGAGAUUAGAACCUCGUCUUAGAGAGCAAACUGAACGAUAAUUUAUGGCUAUGGUAAAAUGCAUCCUCUCUCUCAAGUAAAAGGCCUUUGUGCUGUUUUCCUAUUAUCUGUGGUUUGUCAUGUAAGUGAGAGGGGUGGAUCUUUCCUAUAAAAGAUCUGUUGCCAUUAUGUUGACACUCUCAGAAUUCAUUUAUAGACACUGAAUUGAUCUGAGAGUCACAGGGCUAUGGUGAAGCUCAUAUUAUUAAAAGAUUAAGUUUAAAGUAUAA
Long non-coding RNA from Oncorhynchus nerka (sockeye salmon), 5047 nucleotides. RefSeq lists it as uncharacterized. The transcript has 6 exons. The record is from RefSeq and is a predicted model, not a curated record. NCBI's taxonomy places the organism in Eukaryota, Metazoa, Chordata, Actinopteri, Salmoniformes, Salmonidae.